Molecule: transfer RNA, 72 nt
Filed under: Camelus bactrianus (Bactrian camel)
Lineage: Eukaryota; Metazoa; Chordata; Mammalia; Artiodactyla; Camelidae
Also listed under: 2 other names
Rfam family: tRNA
About the family: Transfer RNA (tRNA) molecules are approximately 80 nucleotides in length.
Source: Rfam by way of RNAcentral
GGGAGUAUAACUCAGUGGUAGAGUGUGUGCUUAGUAUGCACGAGGCCCUGGACUCCAUCACUAGUAUCUCCA